Molecule: RNA transcript, 1329 nt
Organism: Trichoplusia ni (cabbage looper)
Lineage: Eukaryota; Metazoa; Arthropoda; Insecta; Lepidoptera; Noctuidae
Gene name: testis-specific serine/threonine-protein kinase 3-like
Exons: 8
Source: RefSeq, a predicted model, not a curated record
AAACAACGUUCUUGUGUCACCAAAAAUGAAUCGGUUUUGACAAAAAUGACAGCAUGUAUAAUAUAAAAAAAAUUCAUGUGAAAAUAAAAUGAGGCAAAAUUCAAUAUAAUGUGACUUUUACUAAACUUAUUUUUUAUAUAAAAGUAACAUUACUGUGAUAUGCCGGGGCCUGAUGUGAGAGCCAAUGAAAAUGUUCUCGGCGAGAUGUCGACAGAGCCCACGGCGACUGUGCAUAGUGGUGUGGAAGCUAAAGCUGAAAGAAAACUAACUGUACUUGAAUCGCACGGCUAUGUACUCGGUCGAUCUAUAGGUUCUGGCUCAUAUGCCACUGUCAAGCAUACGAAGAGGUUACGAUUUCCAUCAUUGAGGAACAGACUAGAGCGAGAAGAGGGGUGGAUAAAUCAAACGAAAAUUACACUUGCGGUUGCAACCAGCGACAGACACAACUGUCAAGUGGCCAUUAAAAUAAUAAGCAAGUUUCAAGCACCAGGCGACUAUCUAAAGAAGUUUCUGCCAAGAGAGAUAGAAGUUGUUAAAGGUCUCAAACAUGAGAAUUUAAUACGAUUUCUACAAGCUAUAGAAACUACUCAUAGGGUGUACAUUGUGAUGGAAUAUGCCGAAAACGGCAGCCUCCUAGACAUAAUUCGCAAAGACCAACACAUAGAUGAGGUUCGAGGCCGGCGCUGGUUUCGACAACUCGUUGAGGCUGUUGAAUAUUGCCACGAGCGAGGAGUUGUUCAUCGGGACAUCAAAUGCGAGAAUUUGCUUAUGGACCAUGGGUUGAAUAUAAAACUAUCGGAUUUCGGCUUCGCAAGAGGCCACAUGAAGCCAAAGAACGGGGUUUAUGCGUUGAGCGAAACUUUCUGCGGAAGCUACGCGUAUGCUUCUCCAGAAAUUUUAAAAGGGGUCCCGUAUAGGCCGCAGGAUUCUGAUAUUUGGAGUAUGGGAGUGGUGCUGUACGCUAUUGUGUAUGGAAGGCUACCUUUCGAUGACACCAAUUACACGCAGUUGUUAAAGCAAGUGCAAAACAAAGUGUCUUUCCCUCGUGAACCGAAAGUAUCAACUGACUGUCGCAAGUUAAUAACAAAAAUCUUAGCACCACUCAAGGUGCGCGUCAAGAUCCCACAGAUCCUGGCCGACACAUGGCUUAAUCCGAACCAACCUGCUAAGGACGAAGAGGUGGACACAACACAGUGAAGUUAUUUUUUCAGGAAACAUAAUACCUCUCUGCCUCCCCUAGGGGAAACAGGCGUGACCCUAAGAAAACGGGCAAGUCAGUAAAGAAGAAAUUAAGAGCGUGAACAUUGGCACCGUAACUUUUGACAGAAA